CCUACGGGAGGCAGCAGUGAGGAAUAUUGGUCAAUGGACGAGAGUCUGAACCAGCCAAGUAGCGUGAAGGAUGACUGCCCUAUGGGUUGUAAACUUCUUUUAUAUGGGAAUAAAACGUUCCACGUGUGGGAUUUUGUAUGUACCAUAUGAAUAAGGAUCGGCUAACUCCGUGCCAGCAGCCGCUGUAAUACGGAGGAUCCGAGAGUUAUCCGGAUUUAUUGGGUUUAAAGGGAGCGUAGGUGGAUUGUUAAGUCAGUUGUGAAAGUUUGCGGUGCAACCGUAAAAUUGCAGUUGAAACUGGCAGUCUUGAUUACAGUAGAGGUGGGCGGAAUUCGUGGUGUAGCGGUGAAAUGCUUAGAUAUCACGAAGAACUCCGAUUGCGAAGGCAGUUCACUGGACUGCAACUGACACUGAGGCUCGAAAGUGUGGGUAUCAAACAGGAUUAGAUACCCGGGUAGUC
This 460-nucleotide ribosomal RNA is filed under the name uncultured bacterium. RNAcentral describes it as "partial 16S ribosomal RNA". It matches the Rfam family "Bacterial small subunit ribosomal RNA", at positions 338 to 795 of the family's 1533-position model. The record is from RNAcentral.